Molecule: ribosomal RNA, 405 nt
Filed under: uncultured bacterium
Lineage: Bacteria
Description: bacterial SSU rRNA
Rfam family: Bacterial small subunit ribosomal RNA
Source: RNAcentral
CGGGGAAUAUUGCGCAAUGGGCGAAAGCCUGACGCAGCAACGCCGCGUGAGGGAUGACGGCUUUCGGGUUGUAAACCUCUUUCAGCAGGGACGCGGUACCUGCAGAAGAAGCCCCGGCCAACUACGUGCCAGCAGCCGCGGUAACACGUAGGGGGCAAGCGUUGUCCGGAUUUAUUGGGCGUAAAGAGCUCGUAGGUGGUUCGGUAAGUCGGGUGUGAAAACUCUGGGCUCAACUCAGAGACGCCACCUGAUACUGCCGGACUGGAGUCUGGUAGGGGAGUGUGGAAUUUCCGGUGUAGCGGUGAAAUGCGCAGAUAUCGGAAGGAACACCAGUGGCGAAGGCGGCACUCUGGGCCAGUACUGACACUGAGGAGCGAAAGCGUGGGUAGCGAACAGGAUUAGAUA